Molecule: small RNA, 561 nt
Filed under: Pongo abelii (Sumatran orangutan)
Lineage: Eukaryota; Metazoa; Chordata; Mammalia; Primates; Hominidae
Description: processed transcript
Source: RNAcentral
UCACCUCCACACUUACACACAUCCUCAGCAGAGAGCCUGAGGAUAGAUGAAAUUCCAAGACAUGAGCAUUUCAAGAAUUUUAAAGCACUCGUAUAGGAAAUACAGGAAGGUCAUGCUUACAUGAAAGUCCCUGCAGCACUGAUUUGUUUUUUCAAGACAAACCUGCAUCAGUGAAUGAAAACCAUGAGAUAUACAUGAAGGAUUCUAUGUCUGCUGCAGAGGUUGGUACUGGCCAGUACGCCACAACAAAAGGCAUCUCUCAGACCAACUUGAUCACCACUGUGACUCCGGAGAAGAAGGCUGAGGAGGAGCGGGACGAGGAAGAGGACAAACGGAGGAAGGGGGAAGAAGUCACGCCCAUCUCGGCCAUCCGGCACGAGGGAAAGACUGACAGUGAGCGCACGGACACCGCAGCCGACGGGGAGACCACCGCCACUGAGGAGCUAGAAAAAACUCAAGAUGACCUGAUGAAACAUCAAACCAACAUUAGCGAGCUGAAAAGAACCUUCUUAGAAACCUCAACAGACACUGCCAUAACGAAUGAAUGGGAGAAGAGGCUUU